AGUAACAUAUAAAGGGAGACCUAUCAGAAUCU
This 32-nucleotide non-coding RNA is filed under the name Rattus norvegicus (Norway rat). The record is from RNAcentral. Lineage: Eukaryota; Metazoa; Chordata; Mammalia; Rodentia; Muridae.